Molecule: non-coding RNA, 75 nt
Organism: Ylistrum balloti
Lineage: Eukaryota; Metazoa; Mollusca; Bivalvia; Pectinida; Pectinidae
Source: the annotation of a RefSeq genome assembly
GUUCCUGGUAGCUCAACUGGAUAGAGCAAUCGCCUCCUAAGCGAUAGGUUGCGGGUUCAAAUCCCGUCCGGAACA